Molecule: non-coding RNA, 98 nt
Organism: Mycena epipterygia
Lineage: Eukaryota; Fungi; Basidiomycota; Agaricomycetes; Agaricales; Mycenaceae
Source: the annotation of a GenBank genome assembly
GCCUUGGUAGCUUAAUGGAACAGAGCAUCAGAAUAUUAUGUGCAAUAUAUAAUUCCGAUCUACUUCUGGAGGUGUGGGUUCAAAUCCUGCCCGAGGCA